UACGGAGGGUGCAAGCGUUGUCCGGAUUUAUUGGGUUUAAAGGGAGCGUAGGUGGUCUUAUAAGUCAGUGGUGAAAUCUCUGGGCUUAACCCAGAAAUUGCCAUUGAUACUGUAGGACUUGAGUAUAGUUGCCGUUGGCGGAAUAUGACAUGUAGUGGUGAAAUACAUAGAGAUGUCAUAGAACACCGAUUGCGAAGGCAGCUAACGAAACUAUAACUGACACUGAGGCUCGAAAGUGUGGGGAUCAAACAGG
This 253-nucleotide ribosomal RNA is filed under the name uncultured bacterium. Its description in RNAcentral is "partial 16S ribosomal RNA". It matches the Rfam family "Bacterial small subunit ribosomal RNA", at positions 524 to 776 of the family's 1533-position model. The record is from RNAcentral.